RNAcentral lists this ribosomal RNA (254 nucleotides) under uncultured bacterium. Its description in RNAcentral is "partial 16S ribosomal RNA". It matches the Rfam family "Bacterial small subunit ribosomal RNA", at positions 524 to 776 of the family's 1533-position model. The record is from RNAcentral.
UACGUAGGGGGCAAGCGUUGUCCGGAUUUAUUGGGCGUAAAGAGCUCGUAGGCGGUCUGUCACGUCUGCCGUGAAAACCCGAGGCUUAACCUCGUGGCUUGCGGUGGAUACGGGCAGACUAGAGGUAGGUAGGGGAGAACGGAAUUCCCGGUGUAGCGGUGAAAUGCGCAGAUAUCGGGAGGAACACCGGUGGCGAAGGCGGUUCUCUGGGCCUUACCUGACGCUGAGGAGCGAAAGCAUGGGGAGCGAACAGG